CUCCAGGGUAUGCCAGCUGAGGUUGAAGAAGGAACACAUAUCAACUUCUUCCCAAGUGCCUGAGCUGCCCGAGCUGACCACACUGAGUUCUUAACGCUGAAGUUCCUCAAGCAGGAGCCCACCAGAAGGAAGGGGCAUGGCCACAGCAUUCCCUCUGGUUCCCUCCCAUCAGGUAUUCCAUUGUAUGGAUAUACUCCAUUUGGUUAUUUACCUAUUGAUGGGCAUGAAUGGACACUCUGCAAGAUGCCUGCGAACCCUGCUCCUGGAACAUUUGGGUCUCUGUCUGCCUACUGUCUCUCAGAGGGGGAGAAGAAAGUUUUGAGAAGCUACACAUUCUUUGCUUGAGGAAUCCAGCUGAGCCUCCAAGUUGAUUUAUUUGAUUACGUGUCCAGGACCCAGUGUUUUUUCCAGGGCUGCUGUCAAAACUAUCUUUCCAUGUUGAGAAAUCAAUUUUCUUCCCUCAGCUGAAAUGGCUUUACAAAAUGUACGCUUGAGAGAGGCCUUCAUUUUAUAAGAUACUUCUUGAGUGGUGUGCCUCUUGACACAUACUCUCCUGGAGGGGCUUACAUGAGAAGGAGUCUUGACUCCAUUUAUGGCCUCUUCAUCCUCUUAGCUUUCUAAAGAAGGUAGUUCCAUCAGGUAGCUUUUAAGCAGCUCUUUUCAUUGCCUAACAGAUAGAUUGCAUGCAAAUUCUACCUGCAUUUUUCCAAGUAGUAAUAUCCCUGAGAUAUCUUAGCAGGAAGUCCCAUGCCAAGGAAAUGUGACAUUUGCAGCAAGAAACAACACUGCUAUGCCACACAUCCAUGGGACAGUCUGGGGAGAAGGAUGAGGAGAUAAAAUGAGAACAGGGGAACAAGGUGGAUUUGGAAGGGAGCGGUUGUAGGGGAGGCAAACUUUUCCCUUUACUGUCUUAGGGUUCUUUUUGGCGGGGCCUGAGAAUUAAAUCAACAUAAGAGAGAUCAACAGGAAAACAACACACAGUUUUAUUUAAUACAAGUUUUAUGUGAAACGGGAGCCUUCAUAAGAAAAUAAAGACUCAAGGAAAUGGUGAAACCUAUUUGCUUUUGUAUUAGGUUGAACAAAGAACAACUGUGAAAAAGUGACUAAACUAUGUUGGGAGAUGAAAGGAAGAGAAGAAUUAUUUUAACAAGAUCUGUUUGCAUAGAAUUCUGUCAACCUCAAUUUAUCAUUGAUAUGAAUGUUACUUUCCUUCUGGCAGAGGGAACACAUCUUUCAUAUGGGGAUUUCAUCUCCUGCUUUUAAGAAAAAGAAAAAUGGUCAAGGGGUUUUCCUUGUAUUUGCUGUUUUUCAGGUAUGUUUACCUCAAAGUAGUCAAUAUGCCAGAGUGGUGUAUUUUAGGGUGCUGUGUUCUGAACUCCUUCACAACACAGUAUGAAGUGAAGUGGUAAAGGUGGUAGUUAAGAGCACUAGGCUUCUGACCAAGCUGGGUUUGAAUCCUGGCUCUGCCACUCACCAGCUGAGUUCCUGCAAGUUCUUUACUGUCUUCAUGGCAACUGCAUCUGAAGACAGAAUUUACUUCAUGGAGUUGUUAGUGUUAAACGAUAUAACAGAUAUAAAACUUUUGGCACAGUGCCUGGCACAUAGCAUGUGCUCAAUAAACAUUUGUUGUUACUAUUCACCCCUUCUGGGGACGUAAUAGUGGAUCCCUGGUUUAGUGUGAGGAGCUGGCCAGGAAGUUUUGAUUCAUCCUCAACUGUGAUUUCUCAGCCACUUGGGCUGCCAUGUUUUCCCAGGAAGCAGCAAAUGGCCGGGACACUGGCACCUUGCUAUGAGACAUUGUAUUCAGCUUCCUAAAGUAAGGAGGCUGGAAGGCAGGUGAUAUACUCAGAGGUGAAUGCUCCUUGGUCUCCGGCCCACUUCAUUCUGCCAUUCAGAAGGGAUUUUUCAGUUAAUCAAAGAGAGGAGAGAGCAAGUCCAGUCAGCUCUCCCUUUCUAGAGAGAAGACUUGCCAGUACCUUUACAAGCCCUGCCUCAUCCCAGCCUCCCAUCCCUCAGGGUAGAGCAUGUGUGUCUCUUCUUCAGUCUCCUUGAAAGGACUAACAACUCUCAGAUAAAUACAUAAAUGGCAAGAAUAAUUAAAUCUGGCAGUGUUUGAAGUAAAACCCUGGCUUCUUACUGUCAUUUUACCCCCACGGGUCUCUUAUUCCAAGCCUGCGCCGAGUCCUUGAGCAGAAAGAAAUAACACUCCGGGCGCUUGGUGGCAAGGAACAGUCAACCGCACCCAUCAGCUGCCAGGCGGGUCCCCGGGCGAGAGCCUCGGGGCUGCCCUGCGGGGUGAGGCAGCUGUCUAAUAAAAGACCAUUUUCGUAAUCAGUGUUCGGUGCAAACGAACCGUUUUCAUUUAUAGAAACGGUGAAGCCACCUGCUAUUUAAAGGCCCCGUCCCCCCCCUCCUCCUCCUCCCGGGGCUGAAUCUUCCCGCCCCCUCCCUCGGCCGGCUGUGUCUCGUCAGAGUUCCCGUCUCCUCGCGCAGCAGCGUAAAUCUCUGACCGGCCACCGCCCGUGCAUUGCUUCUUACACUCGAUUUGGGCUCUGGGAUUAUGGCCCCUUCCACGAAAACAGCUCCCGUGAGAGCGGUCAGCCGAGGAGGAACUGGGUGUCCCUUCCCGCCCGGAGAGUGAGCAGAGCGCGCCUCCCUGGGCGUCCCGGCCGCGGCUUCCCUCCCACCGGCCCCCGCGGCUCCGCCGAGUCGGGCGCUGACGCCGGAGGCGGGGCGGAGAGGACGGGGAGGAGGAGAAAGUGCUGCCGCCGAGGCAGGAGCGCCGGAACCCCGAGCGAAAGGAAGGGCCUUGGAGAAAACGGCAGGAAGACGGCAAAACAAAAACACAGAUGGAGACAUGGGACCUUACAGCACCUCAAAGGGCAGAAGUCCAAGUGGGAAUAACCAAUUGCAGGAUGGAGAGCCUGUGAAAGGAAGCAUCCCUGCCUGGGUGAAAUAUAUGCUGAACCCUUCUGCUUAUCCUGAAAGCAAAAAUCUCUGAUAUAAACUUGCUUUUCCAUGCUUUUUACUUAA
Manis javanica (Malayan pangolin) is the source of this 3033-nucleotide long non-coding RNA. RefSeq lists it as uncharacterized. The record is from RefSeq and is a predicted model, not a curated record. NCBI's taxonomy places the organism in Eukaryota, Metazoa, Chordata, Mammalia, Pholidota, Manidae.